Molecule: long non-coding RNA, 1220 nt
Organism: Helianthus annuus (common sunflower)
Lineage: Eukaryota; Viridiplantae; Streptophyta; Magnoliopsida; Asterales; Asteraceae
Exons: 7
Source: RefSeq, a predicted model, not a curated record
UGAUAUAUUAAAAACAACACACCAAAUGAAACAGGUCCAUUGUGAUUUCCUACUCAUCCCUAAACCCACUCAUAUGCUCCAUCAAUAAACUACUGCCGUCAAGAUUUCCGGCAUUAUUCCGGCGAAAUCCGGCAAGAAACAACCGCUGUCAUUCGUAACUCAUUUUUGGCGAUUUCCGGCAAGAAAACGAACCGAACGUAACAACAAUUUAGUUUGUCGCGUGAGUUCAGCUAAUAGGUGUAUCGCAAAUGAGUUGCUGAUAAGUGGACUUCCAAAAUCGAUUAACUCAUGUGACCCUUGACCGCUGAACCAUUAAUCAAUCUCCUGAUUUAGACGAGACCGCUGCCAUCCUCACGUCAGUGCCAUUGGCUUUCACUCUCGCUUUCCAAGCCAAAGGGGCAGAGAAAAUCUGCCUCUCUUCGCUCCGUUUUUAGCUGUUUUUAUGGUGAGCAGCAAUCGAUGAGGGUGGGGGCGCCAAAGUAAGAUCUAACUUUUCUACGGUUUUGGUAACAACAGACCUACUUUCAGCCUGAAUUUUACUUUUAGAGAAUGAUUUUGUUUGGUUUUGUUUAGUUGAAUAUUGCGUCCUUUUUAUGCACUUGUGCGUUUUUUUUAUUUUGCUUAUUUUUGUUCUAAAUUAGCAUGGUGCCUUGAAAUAUGGACAACGCUGCUCGAAUUUGGUCGGAAUUCAAGAAUAGUGGCAGCUUAGAGUUGGAUUUUACUAUAGAUCUUUGAUGAAAAUCCAUUUGAAACAAGAAUCACACCAACAGGUGCUUAAAAUGUUUAACCAGGAAUUUGAAGUUUAAGCAGUUCAGAGAACAACUUAAAUCCACCAGCAGAUUUUCCUAAGGAUCAAACAAAGUUAUGCAAGUUGCUUUAGGUCGAUCUGAAUCCGAUGAGAUGAGGCCAGGGCUUCACAAGGUUUCUAAGCUUCUCAAGGGGGGUCUUUGUUUAACCAACAUGCUUGUAGAAGAAGCCCAAAGGUUAAUACUACAAAGCCAUGUUAGAAGUACUUCUGUUAUUUAGUUGUUCCCAAUGGUACGUGAUUGGCCAAGGCUCCAACACUUUUUCGGAAACAUGGACGCCACUCGCGCAACGCGCGACAUUGAUAACACUAACUUGUAUAUGUUAGUUUUGUUUUACUUGGAAGAAUGUAUUCGAAUGAAAUAUUUACUUGUCACGGUUAUUUAUAUUAGAAUUGAACAUAGUUUGCUUUAUAA